AUGAGAGCAUCUCCAACAGCCGCGCUAAACAAGCGUCGCGCCGCAAAUUUGGCAAUUUUAGCGCGCGCGCAACCCGCAGGGUGUCUCCAGCGGGCGCGCAAUAACCACGCGCACGGUAUAAGGAGUUGGGCGCGCUGUCCGAUUCGCUAUCUCGCGCGGUGUAUUUGGGGCGCCCGCUUCCGCGCGCGGCACACUCGAGCGCUCGCGCCGCACUCUCUCCUCUCCGCCUCCUACGCCCCACGCGCGCCGGCGCCGGCAAACUGCACCCCAUGGACGCACGCGCCGGCACCCCGCUCACCCCAUCCUAUAGCCGCGACCCGUCCACCGCCGCCGCCGCCGCAAACCCUAGCGCGGGGGCGUUGGCCUCGCCUCCGCCGGAGCUCCUCCGACCAUCGGCCUCGCGCGCUGCCUCUUCACGCCGCCGCGGAUAACCUCGGCGGCGGGUGGCGUCGCGCCGGCGCCGCCGCGCCCCCCUCGAAGCUCCCCAAUGCGGCGCGGCCGAAGAAGGGCAAGGCAUCGGCGAAGAAGAACAAGGCGACGGACGGCUCCGGCACCUCUAAGGCGAGGAGGAAGAAGCUUGCAGGGCGUGUGACGGGUGCGGCGGCUACCGAAGCGCCGGCGAGCUCACUCGUUGAGCUGGCGGCCGACGCGCACAACGUGUUCGACGAAAUGCCCCCAAGUCUCAACGAUGAUGCAUACAUGUCAACUAUGGGUGUUGGCUCCAACAAUUCGCAUUGGUCUCAAACCAAUGACAUGCAUUUCGAGGACCAUGAGUUCGAGGCGGACGAGGAGGGUGAGGGCAUUGUCGACGCGCCGAAAGGAAGAGCGUGCAAUUACACCAACGCCGAUAACAUCUUACUAUGCAAUACUUGGUUGCAAGUGUCGAGGGAUCCAUCCGUUGGAGGUGAUCAAAGUAGAGAUGCUUAUUGGGGGCGGAUGAAAGAACACUAUGAUGUUCACAACGUGAGUGGAAUUGACCGCUCCGAGAGAUCACUUCGGUCCCGGUGGUCGACAAUCAACUCGGAUUGUCAAAGGUGGGCGGCUUGUCAAAAGGCGGUUGACAAGUUGAACCCAAGUGGUACAAAUGAGGACGAUAGAUACCACAUUGCACAAAACUUGUUCAAAGAAGAGGAGAGGAAAACCAAGAAGGGGGAGAUCAAGAAAGGAAGGGCAAGAAAAGAAGCCAACGAGGUGAGGAAAAUGGCAAGGAACCAAGAUGCCGCGGCCGAGGAGGGGAGGUUGGCGGCCGAGGAGAGGAGAGUGGCGGCCGAGGAGAGGAAGGUGGCUUUGGAGGAGAGGAAGGUGAGCAAUGAGGAGCGAACAAGAUUGUUGGAAUGGGAGAAGCACUUGUUCUUCUUGGACACAUCUAACCUCAAUGAGGCGCAAAAGGAGUUUGUCAAUCUUUCACGUGAAGAAGUCUUGAUCCAAAAAAGAGCCAUGGUGCCAUGGGAGGCAUGGGUCGCUUUGGAGCACCCCCGACGCUAUGGCCACCGCAUGAGUUUUGCUUCUCUCAUGGGAGGCAUGGGUGCACCUCCGGCCGCCAUGGGCGGAAUGUCUUUCGAUGUGCCUCCUCACACACAUUCCCAUGAAGGUGCCGUUGAAGAUCUUGCCAACACCGUCGAAGCUUCACGUGAUGCGGUGCGCGAUGAGGAGAGGGAGGAAGAAUCAUCUUCGGAGGAGGCAGAAUCGUCUUCCGAAGAUGAGGACAAAGACGAGGAGGAGGAUUGA
RNAcentral lists this ribosomal RNA (1728 nucleotides) under Triticum aestivum (bread wheat). RNAcentral describes it as "partial small subunit ribosomal RNA". The record is from RNAcentral. Lineage: Eukaryota; Viridiplantae; Streptophyta; Magnoliopsida; Poales; Poaceae.